ACAGUGGACGCGAGCAUCUGUGGCCAAGUUUUUAAGGGCGCACGGUGGAUGCCUUGGCACCAGGAACCGAUGAAGGACGUGGGAGGCCACGAUAGUCCCCGGGGAGUCGUCAACCAGGCUUUGAUCCGGGGGUUUCCGAAUGGGGAAACCCGGCAGUCGUCAUGGGCUGUCACCCGCUGCUGAACACAUAGGCAGUGUGGAGGGAACGCGGGGAAGUGAAACAUCUCAGUACCCGCAGGAAGAGAAAACAACCGUGAUUCCGGGAGUAGUGGCGAGCGAAACCGGAUGAGGCCAAACCGUAUGCGUGUGAGACCCGGCAGGGGUUGCGUGUGCGGGGUUGUGGGAUCUCUCUUUUACGGUCUGCCGGCCGUGAGACGAGUCAGAAACCGUUGAUGUAGGCGAAGGACAUGCGAAAGGUCCGGCGUAGAGGGUAAGACCCCCGUAGUCGAAACAUCAGCGGCUCGUUUGAGAGACACCCAAGUAGCACGGGGCCCGAGAAAUCCCGUGUGAAUCUGGCGGGACCACCCGCUAAGCCUAAAUAUUCCCUGGUGACCGAUAGCGGAUAGUACCGUGAGGGAAUGGUGAAAAGUACCGCGGGAGCGGAGUGAAAUAGUACCUGAAACCGUGUGCCUACAAGCCGUGGGAGCGUCGGAGCAAGGCUUGCCUUGUUCUCGUGACUGCGUGCCUUUUGAAGAAUGAGCCUGCGAGUUUGCGGUGUGUUGCG
Molecule: ribosomal RNA, 724 nt
Filed under: Streptomyces griseoaurantiacus
Lineage: Bacteria; Bacillati; Actinomycetota; Actinomycetes; Kitasatosporales; Streptomycetaceae
Description: partial 23S ribosomal RNA
Rfam family: Bacterial large subunit ribosomal RNA
Source: RNAcentral